Lonchura striata (white-rumped munia) is the source of this 3038-nucleotide non-coding RNA. The record is from RefSeq and is a predicted model, not a curated record. Lineage: Eukaryota; Metazoa; Chordata; Aves; Passeriformes; Estrildidae.
GGAAAAAUGUGCAGUUUGCACAGAUCCACAGGACAUGAAAUAAAUCAAAAUUACUUUUCUAGGACACCCAGUGAGAUGCUUCAAAAAUUCCCAAACGAGUACAAGGUUGUAUCUUUACUGAGUACAAAGUGAUGUAGCUUCCCAGACUACGAUUUAUUUUAUUUAAUUUAUGUCCCCAGUGUGUGAAUAUCAACCCACACAACUGGAGGUUGUGUGCUGCCUUGCAACUCUGCUUUGUGGGCAGUUCUGCCAUAACUCUGAAUUAAUCCUAGUGGGGAUAGUAAGAACAAUUCCAUGAAUGGUUUUCUGGAAAUUUGACUAAACCUCUAGUUCUGUUUGUGGGAUUGGACCCUGGGGCACACACCAAACCUAGAGACAAGACAUUCCUGUGCCAGUAUCUGCAUUCUCCCUGUGAGGAAGUGGUCAAAGCUGGCAUGAUGUUGUAAGUGUCACUCAUAGAAAUGCACCGUCAGUAUCUGAGAGGACACAAAUGAUUCACAAGGCACUUGAGCGGGAUGUCUGUGUGUUUCCAAUGAAUUGAUCACGGCAGUCAUUGCAUACCUGCUGAACAACUUCAGUUCUGUUACUCCUGUUUAAAGUAAGUCAUGGUGAUCUAAUUGUAGUUUAUCUUACCUCCCAUUUCACAUGGAUCUUCCAUGCUAGGCACCAAGGAGGUCUAGUGAGCAAGUCCCUUUGGUAUGUGUGUUGAGACGAUACAAUCUGGGGUUCACAGUUCCCUGAAUGAUACAAAUAAAAACAUUCCAGCACAUACAGAAGCUGCGAAGAUGACAAAACUGUACAUAUCAAAGACAACGAAAGCAUUCAGCAAUGAGAAUGGCAGGCUUGGGGUUUGGAUUAAAGUUUAUUUGGAUGAUCAACUUGUUAGCCUUGUGGAAGUUGUAGCAGUCCUGAGUUCAGGUUAAAAAUUCAAGAAGUUAUGAACUUUUUUCAGUCCCUGUAUUAAUUGCAAACAAAAGUCAUGUUCCCUUGUUCCCUUGCUUCCUGACCUUGACAAUGACAAUGCUUCCAGCAGCUGUAAAUGAAACUGAAAGCAGAUCUUUGAGGCUAAUUAAACCACAGCAGAGGUUUCAACACAUUGUUUGUCCUGUAGAACUUUUUAAGGACUCUGGCACACAAGGAGACAGUUCCUGAAAGUAUUCACUGAAUCCAGACCCCAAGCUUUCCCACUACACCUACGGAGUGCUCAGUGGAAUGAUAAAUAACCUAGAGGAAAUAGAAUAAAUACAGAAGCAGAAAUCACAGAUGAAAGAGAUAACAAAGGAUUGUCAUUUUUCUCCAUGUUUAGGAGGGUGGUGAGGCCCUGGCACCUGUUGCCCAGAGAACCUGUGGCUGCCCUGUGCUUGGAAGUGUCCAAGGCCAGGUUGGACAGGGCUUUGAGCAACCUGGGAUAAUGAAGGGUGUCCUUGCCCAUGGCAGGAAGCUGGAACUGGGUGAUCUUUAACAUCCAUUUCAAUCCAAACCAGUUUGUGGUUCUAUGAUUCCAUGAUUUCCUGCAGCUUUAUGCUACCAAUAACCCAAGUGUCCAAAGUUAACCAACUUCACAGACUCACCAGGGAAGGAAAUGUGUUUUUUAGUUAUUACUGCCCUAUUUACAGUCUACACUGACUUUUCAGUGAUGUGCAAUCCAUUCCCUAAGAGCCCUGUGUACAGGAAACAGCUAUAGGUCAUACACCCUUCUGGAAACUGGGACACAAAAAAAAGCUAAUUAAAAAAUAUGGAUUCUUUACUCCUUCAUUAUGUCUUGGUGAUUAUCAUAGUAUUUACAAGAAUGUUUUAGUUUGGGUUUCUAAAAUACAAAGUGCUGGAGAAGUGGCACACCUUCCCAUGGUAUUCAAACCAUCCCAAGAUUAGGAGCAGACUUCAGUUAACAGCUUUUGCCCACAACAAAAUCAAAUCUUAUAAGCCCCAUGGGUCUAAAACUGAGUUUCUCUGAAGAAGUGCUUUGCUCGCUGUUGCACUUGCAGAAUCUCAGAGUCAUUUUAGGUUGGGAAACACCUCUGGGACCCUUGAGUCCAACCUGUGAUCAAGCUCCAGCUUGUCAACCAGACCAGAGCACCGAGUGCCCUGUCCAGUUGUCUCUUGAACACCUCCAGGGAUGGUAACUCCACCCCUUCCCUGAGCAAUCCCAGUGCUUGACAACCCUUUCUGAAAAUAAAUUCUUCAUUUCCAACCUCAACCUCCCCUGGCACAACUUGAGGCUUGUUUCUUCUUGUCCUAUUGCCUGUGACCUGGGAGCAGAGCCCGACCUCUACCUGGCUGCUCCCUCAGCCGCUCCUCAUGAUUUCCUCUCUGGAUCCGUCCCCAGCUCCACUGCCCUUCUUUGGAAGGGCUCCAGCACAAAAGGCUCAAGCGAGGGUGGCAGGGAGAGGGGGUAACCGGGCUGCUGUGAAAUGGAGGAAAAGGACUUGCUCUGCAGUGCCGAAUGAGGAGGCGCCACUCUUUGAGCAGAACAGAGGUCACCUCCAUAAAAGAAAUGGAACAAACAGUCUCCGACAGGCCGCCCUGCCUGUGCCAACACAAGCGGCGCUGCUCACUGCGCUCCAUCUGACCCUGGGAGUAGGACACACACAGAUAAAAUACUACGGCUGCCUUCAUUGGCAAGAAGCUGGAGCCUUUCCAAGUCUAGCAACCUGAAUGGACGCUUGCAAUGAGGUGCGAAUGCACCCAGCAUCAAAGGCAGAUUUGUGAUACAAGGUGGCGGAGAGUAACCACAGCCCGAGCUCCGCGGCACAAGCGUUCACUCGAGGCCAUUCCCCACCUCACACCAGCCUGGGAAGGGGCAGAGAGAGGGAAGCAAACAGCUCCAAGGGUAAAACCCACCUCUGCAGCCACCCUUCUACAGCAUUGUAGGGCUGAGAUUACCUAUAUUCACUUGCAGUUCUCUUUUCUGCCUCUUGUGAUGACAACAAAUAAUACAAGAAAUAAAUGCUCAAUAACAUAUAUGGUAUAUGUAAUUGUAACAAAUAACAAAGGUUUAAUCUCUGCUUGCACCCCAAUAAAAACUAGUAAAAAUCAAA